GAAGGCUUUCUGAGUCGUAAACUGCUUUUGACAGGGAAGAAUAAGCAUCACGUGUGAUGCGAUGACGGUACCUGCAGAAUAAGCACCGGCUAACUCCGUGCCAGCAGCCGCGGUAAUACGGAGGGUGCGAGCGUUGUCCGGAUUUAUUGGGUUUAAAGGGUGCGUAGGCGGCUUUUUAAGUCUGGGGUGAAAGCCCGCUGCUCAACAGCGGAACUGCCCUGGAUACUGGAGAGCUUGAGUACAGACGAGGUUGGCGGAAUGGACUGAGUAGCGGUGAAAUGCAUAGAUACAGUCCAGAACCCCGAUUGCGAAGGCAGCUGACUAGGCUGUUACUGACGCUGAGGCACGAAAGCGUGGGGAGCGAACAGGAUUAGAUACCCUGGUAGUCCACGCCGUAAACGAUGGAUACUCGCUGCGAGCUAAAGAUUGUUCGUGGCUUAGGGAAACCGAUAAGUAUCCCACCUGGGGAGUACGCUCGCAAGAGUGAAACUCAAAGGAAUUGACGGAAUCACUA
Molecule: ribosomal RNA, 514 nt
Filed under: uncultured bacterium
Lineage: Bacteria
Description: bacterial SSU rRNA
Rfam family: Bacterial small subunit ribosomal RNA
Source: RNAcentral